CCCUUAGAUGUCCUGGGCCGCACGCGCGCUACACUGAUGCAUUCAACGAGUUUUACCUUGGCCGAGAGGCCUGGGCAAUCUUUUAAACCUGCAUCGUGAUAGGGAUAGAUUAUUGCAAUUAUUAAUCUUGAACGAGGAAUUCCUAGUAAACGCAAAUCAUCAAUUUGCAUUGAUUACGUCCCUGCCCUUUGUACACACCGACCGUCGCACCUACCGAUUGAAUGGUCCGGUGAAGCCUCGGGAUUGUGGCCAGUUCACUUUAUUGGGAGUUGGCUGUGAGAACUUGUCUAAACCUUAUCAUUUAGAGGAAGGUGAAGUCGUAACA
This 325-nucleotide ribosomal RNA is filed under the name uncultured eukaryote. RNAcentral describes it as "partial 18S ribosomal RNA". It matches the Rfam family "Eukaryotic small subunit ribosomal RNA", at positions 1470 to 1796 of the family's 1831-position model. The record is from RNAcentral.